This 459-nucleotide ribosomal RNA is filed under the name uncultured bacterium. RNAcentral describes it as "partial 16S ribosomal RNA". It matches the Rfam family "Bacterial small subunit ribosomal RNA", at positions 338 to 795 of the family's 1533-position model. The record is from RNAcentral.
CCUACGGGAGGCAGCAGUGAGGAAUAUUGGUCAAUGGGCGCGAGCCUGAACCAGCCAAGCCGCGUGAAGGAAGAAUGUCCAGCGUAUCGUAAACCUCUUUUGUCAGGGAACAAAGGCGGGGACUAGUCCCCUGAUGAGGGUACCUGAAGAAAAAGCAUCGGCUAACUCCGUGCCAGCAGCCGCGGUAAUACGGAGUAUGCGAGCGUUAUCCGGAUUUAUUGGGUUAAAAGGGUGCGCAGGUGGCCUGUUAAGUCAGCGGUAAAAGCCCGGGGCUCAACCCCGGCGAGCCGUUGAAACUGGCGGGCUGGAGUUGGAGAGAAGUACGCGGAAUGCGCGGUGUAGCGGUGAAAUGCUUAGAUAUCGCGCAGAACCCCGAUUGCGAAGGCAGCGUACCGGCUCCACACUGACGCUGAGGCACGAAAGCGUGGGUAUCGAACAGGAUUAGAUACCCUGGUAGUC